UUCUCUCACACUUUCUUCACAGGAAACCCUAGAUCUGCUAAGCACAACGUAGAUCUGGGCAGAUCUUUGAGGCUUCGACUGGCGGUCCCCUACUCAAAGGGAAAAAACCAAACUUGGCCAUAAAUAUCUAAAAAAUCUAUGUCUCAUUAACAGCAACAUAUGGAAUUUGAGGAGGGGGAAUACAACUUCAACAGCUUUAACUGAACUGACAAGGAUUUUUCACUGCUUUUUUUUUUUUUUUUUAAAAAAAUUGUUAUUUAUGCUUCAUGUCUCUAAUCAUUAUUUUAUUAGAUUAGUAAAUUGUUGUAAUGUUAAAAAAGUUUUUUGUUGUAAAUUAUUAAUUUAGAUCUUUUAGGUUUAUUUUAGAAUUU
Molecule: long non-coding RNA, 371 nt
Organism: Ipomoea nil (Japanese morning glory)
Lineage: Eukaryota; Viridiplantae; Streptophyta; Magnoliopsida; Solanales; Convolvulaceae
Exons: 2
Source: RefSeq, a predicted model, not a curated record